UGGGGAAUAUUGCACAAUGGGCGCAAGCCUGAUGCAGCCAUGCCGCGUGUAUGAAGAAGGCCUUCGGGUUGUAAAGUACUUUCAGCGGGGAGGAAGGGAGUAAAGUUAAUACCUUUGCUCAUUGACGUUACCCGCAGAAGAAGCACCGGCUAACUCCGUGCCAGCAGCCGCGGUAAUACGGAGGGUGCAAGCGUUAAUCGGAAUUACUGGGCGUAAAGCGCACGCAGGCGGUUUGUUAAGUCAGAUGUGAAAUCCCCGGGCUCAACCUGGGAACUGCAUCUGAUACUGGCAAGCUGGAGUCUCGUAGAGGGGGGUAGAAUUCCAGGUGUAGCGGUGAAAUGCGUAGAGAUCUGGAGGAAUACCGGUGGUGAAGGCGGCCCCCUGGACGAAGACUGACGCUCAGGUGCGAAAGCGUGGGGAGCAAACAGG
RNAcentral lists this ribosomal RNA (429 nucleotides) under Chloroflexota bacterium. RNAcentral's name for it is "Chloroflexi bacterium partial 16S ribosomal RNA". It matches the Rfam family "Bacterial small subunit ribosomal RNA", at positions 355 to 776 of the family's 1533-position model. Lineage: Bacteria; Bacillati; Chloroflexota. The record is from RNAcentral.